RNAcentral lists this ribosomal RNA (868 nucleotides) under Limosilactobacillus fermentum. Its description in RNAcentral is "bacterial SSU rRNA". It matches the Rfam family "Bacterial small subunit ribosomal RNA", at positions 585 to 1453 of the family's 1533-position model. Lineage: Bacteria; Bacillati; Bacillota; Bacilli; Lactobacillales; Lactobacillaceae. The record is from RNAcentral.
AAGUCUGAUGUGAAAGCCUUCGGCUUAACCGGAGAAGUGCAUCGGAAACUGGAUAACUUGAGUGCAGAAGAGGGUAGUGGAACUCCAUGUGUAGCGGUGGAAUGCGUAGAUAUAUGGAAGAACACCAGUGGCGAAGGCGGCUACCUGGUCUGCAACUGACGCUGAGACUCGAAAGCAUGGGUAGCGAACAGGAUUAGAUACCCUGGUAGUCCAUGCUGUAAACGAUGAGUGCUAGGUGUUGGAGGGUUUCCGCCCUUCAGUGCCGGAGCUAACGCAUUAAGCACUCCGCCUGGGGAGUACGACCGCAAGGUUGAAACUCAAAGGAAUUGACGGGGGCCCGCACAAGCGGUGGAGCAUGUGGUUUAAUUCGAAGCUACGCGAAGAACCUUACCAGGUCUUGACAUCUUGCGCCAACCCUAGAGAUAGGGCGUUUCCUUCGGGAACGCAAUGACAGGUGGUGCAUGGUCGUCGUCAGCUCGUGUCGUGAGAUGUUGGGUUAAGUCCCGCAACGAGCGCAACCCUUGUUACUAGUUGCCAGCAUUAAGUUGGGCACUCUAGUGAGACUGCCGGUGACAAACCGGAGGAAGGUGGGGACGACGUCAGAUCAUCAUGCCCCUUAUGACCUGGGCUACACACGUGCUACAAUGGACGGUACAACGAGUCGCGAACUCGCGAGGGCAAGCAAAUCUCUUAAAACCGUUCUCAGUUCGGACUGCAGGCUGCAACUCGCCUGCACGAAGUCGGAAUCGCUAGUAAUCGCGGAUCAGCAUGCCGCGGUGAAUACGUUCCCGGGCCUUGUACACACCGCCCGUCACACCAUGAGAGUUUGUAACACCCAAAGUCGGUGGGGUAACCUUUAGGAGCCAGC